CUGAACGCCUCUAAGUCAGAAUCCAUGCCAGAACGCGGUGAUACCACCCGCACGUAUAGAUGGACAAGAAUAGGCUUCGGCUUAGCGUCUUAGCAGGCGAUUCUUCCACGGCGCUCGAAGCGCGUCGUGGUAUUUCGCGUAUUGUAAUUUCAACACGAGCGGGGUCAAAUCCUUUGCAGACGACUUAGCUGUGCGAAACGGUCCUGUAAGCAGUAGAGUAGCCUUGUUGUUACGAUCUGCUGAGGGUAAGCCGUCCUUCGCCUCGAUUUCCCCAAUGGGUUCUCCGGAUUUCUGGAGACUUGUAGGGGUUGUGGGUUUUUUCGAUGUGUCGUCUCCGGACGGGCGGUGCAGGGUAGUCGAGUUAGACUUGGUGGAAUUCGAUUCCGUCGAGUAUGGCUGGCACGAUCGUGUGCGGUUGUGUGUUGGACGGUGCAGGGUAGGCUGCUUGGACAUGGUCGGUUCGAGGAUCGAUUCGAGGGCCGGCCUGUCGAUGAUGUGUGAUGUAUGCGGUCUAGGGUAGGCUGGUUUGUCUUGGUCCAAUUUGAUGUCGGCUCCCGUGCAGGCUAGAGUGAGGGGGGUCCAGGGUAGGUACAGGGUAGGCAGCUUAGAUUUGGUCGAUCUGGAGGUCGAUUCUCCGGCUGGUGGAUCUGACCCUGUCGAAACGAGAUGCGAGCGGUGUAGGGUAGGCUAGUUUCGUCCUCGCCAGGUUGCGAUUUGGACGAGAUAUGUGGUCUAGGGUAGGCUCUAGGGUAAGUAGAAUUCGAGUUUCGUCGCCGACAGUUUUCUGUGGGUGUAUGGUAGGUACAGGGUAGGCAAAACUCUCUCCGGCCAGUACUUGUCUGGUGGUCGUGAGUCGAUUUUUUUGUUUUGCCAUACUAUUGAAUUUUGCGGAAAUUCAAAAGUGGCUCGGGAGUCCCGCCUGGCGUGCGUCCGACUCGAACAUCGUCGGUGUACAUAUGAGAGGGAGUAAUCCGGCCCGGCCGGGGCCCCAUCGCGAGCUGCCGGGUAGGUAAAAGUAAAAAAGUUGUUAAGAGGCGCGGUGUCGGCGUGCUUGUAUUUGCGGGAGAGAAUUAUCUGGAGGUGCUGGGUAGCCGGGAAGACUUGGACGGAUCUGGCCCGGGAAUGGGUCUGGGCCUGGAUUCUGGUGUGGUGUAGGAUAGGCGUAGAUAGAUGAGUGGUCUAGGGUAGAUACAGGGUAGCCAGAAGUCUGGUAUAUAGUGUGGGGGGUGUAGGGUAGGUCUGGACACCGUUUUCCACUUCGCCCUUCCCUUUACUCGAGGGAGGACGAUCUUGGCUGGGAUGGAGGUGUAGGGUAGGCUUAAUUUACGAUUACAUGAUCUGUGUCACUCUAGGGUAGGUGAAAAUCCCAUAUAUAUCUGAUCACAUUUGGAGAAGAGGUGGUUUGGCUGGUGAGAUGGACAAAAGUGCAAUGUAGAAUUAUAUGUGAUUUUGCAAAAGUGGGUGUAAAAUUGGGAAAUCGGUUUCCCCGCACAGAUGAGAGCACGUUUGAGGUGCCAUGAGAUGCACCUCUCCGAGACGACCUCAACGGUACCACCGAUGUGUUGGUCCGGCUCCUGUGCGGCCGUCCAGGGCGGGAUAUGUAGAGAAUGUGGUGGUGUAGGGUAGGUGGCCAGGUCCAGGGUAGGUUCUCCAAAUCCGUCAAUCCGGCUUGAAUCGAAGGACAGGUCUAGGGUAGGCCAGAGUCGGGUCUAGGGUAGGCAGCUCUCACCCUCGAAGUGGUCUACCCGGUAGUCAACUUCAAUCGCCUCUCACGGCCGCCACGGACCUCGCAUGACGACGGGACCACCACCAUCGGAUUUGCCUUGGUCGAAAUAGUCGGUAUAUGCACUUUUGCAAAAAUGCGUGCAAAAUGGUUUUGUGGUUUGGUGGUCGUGAGUCGAUUUUUUUGUUUUCCCAUACAAAUGAAUUUUGCGGAAAAUAAAAAGUGGCCCACGAAGCAGUUCUGGCGUGCGGCCCACUAAAACGGUCUCGGAGGGUAUAUGAGAAGGGAGCAAAUCCGGCCGAGCCUGAAAGGGUGAGGACAAACCGGGCGAGCAACCUCUCAGUAUCAGAUCUUGCAGACUUCCACUGCGUGUCCCUCUGUACAGCUUUGCAGGCUCCGGCCUCGGCAGCGGGGGGUUCAUAGUGGUCGUCGACCUCCACGAAACUGCACGCUCCGGCGUGACAGCGUACUGGGGAUGCCUGUGUAGAUGCAGUCCGGGCUUGCCUGGACCGCUAGCAGAUGGGCUCUGUGGAUGACUGGCCGCUGGCUAGACCUGAAACCUGAGCAACGGGAGGUAACCUCUCGCCGCGGACACCGGAAUGGUAGAAGCGGCGUGCUGCGUCCUCCUCUUGGGGCCCCUAAGCCACACCUCCCAUAGCGGGUUCGGUGCGGCGGACGGACGCCCUGGGGAAUUUAGAGGGGGAAAGCGGAUUGCCCUAGCGGUGUUGUUGGCCCUGCCGACCUCACUGCGAAAGGCGCGACUUCACCGUCGCCACCCAGUAACUUGUCUCUCCGGCGCUUCACGGCGCUGGUGGCCAACCCCGGCACACGAUAGUUACCUGGUUGAUUCUGCCAGUAGUCAUAUGCUUGUCUC
Molecule: unclassified non-coding RNA, 2597 nt
Filed under: Fusarium oxysporum f. sp. dianthi
Lineage: Eukaryota; Fungi; Ascomycota; Sordariomycetes; Hypocreales; Nectriaceae
Description: partial contains 28S ribosomal RNA, 28S-18S ribosomal RNA intergenic spacer, and 18S ribosomal RNA
Rfam family: Eukaryotic large subunit ribosomal RNA (bases 1-271)
Source: RNAcentral